AACGAACGCUGGCGGCAUGCCUAACACAUGCAAGUCGAACGAGACCUUCGGGUCUAGUGGCGCACGGGUGCGUAACGCGUGGGAACCUGCCCUUAGGUUCGGAAUAACUCCCCGAAAGGGGUGCUAAUACCGGAUAAUGUCUUCGGACCAAAGAUUUAUCGCCUUUGGAUGGGCCCGCGUUGGAUUAGCUAGUUGGUAGGGUAAAAGCCUACCAAGGCGACGAUCCAUAGCUGGUCUGAGAGGAUGAUCAGCCACACUGGGACUGAGACACGGCCCAGACUCCUGCGGGAGGGGGGGGUGGGGGAUGGUGGAGGAGGGGGGGGGGGCUGAUGCGGCGAGGCCGGGUGGGGGGGGAGGGGGGGGGGGUUGGAGAGGGGUUUUAGCGGGGAUGGUGAUGGCGGUACCGGGAGAGUAAGCGCCGGCUAACUCCGUG
This 433-nucleotide ribosomal RNA is filed under the name uncultured bacterium. RNAcentral describes it as "partial 16S ribosomal RNA". The stretch from base 13 to 343 matches the Rfam family "Bacterial small subunit ribosomal RNA", at positions 40 to 399 of the family's 1533-position model. The record is from RNAcentral.